AUCAAUGAGGGUGAGAGUCCUGUUUGUCAUGUGCAGCCUUCUGUGCACGGUGUAUAUUUGCUGAGUCACACUCCUUGGCAUUGGAAUGCAAAGUGGGUGGUAAGUUUCAUGCAAAGGUAAAUAUGCAAUUGAGACUGAUAGCGCACAAGUACCAUGAGGGACAUAUGAAAAGGACUUUGAAAAGAGAAUUAAAUGAGUUUGUAUUUGCUAAACACAAAGUAAACAGACUUGAUUUCCUCAGUGAGAUUGUAGUGCUUGCUUAACAAUGGGUUUUGGCUGCAAGUGCAAUAAUUCUUGCUUUGUGUGCCAGUUUUUAUGUGGACAUUUGAUUACCUUUGCACAUGAAUGGUAAUUUUCCUGCGGGGUGUGGAUUGCAUAUGCAUGUAAUGAUUUGCAUGUUUGUUAAAUGUGUCUGGUGUAUUUGUUUGUGUCCUUGUCCUUGAGGUUGCUUUCUCCCUUGGGCUUACAUGCCCUGGCACACACAUUCUGGCAAAAUGCUUCUGCUUGACCCGUCUUGAAACACGGACCAAGGAGUCUAACAGAUGUGCAAGUUUGAAGGUGGUAUACCUGUGUGUGUAAUGAAAGUAUUGGCUGGGAUAUUUGCACCAGCAGCCGACUAAUUAGCAGACAGAGGUUUGAGUUGGAGCAUAUCUAUUAGGACCCGAAAGAUGGUGAACUAUGCUUGAACAGAAAGAAUUCAGAGGAAACUCUGAUGGAGGUUCGUAUCGAUACUGACGUGCAAAUCGUUCGUCAUAUUUGGGUAUAGGGGCGAAAGACUAAUCGAACCAUCUAGUAGCUGGUUCCCUCCGAAGUUUCCCUCAGGAUAGCUGGAGUUGCACAGUUUUAUCAGGUAAAGCGAAUGAUUAGAGGAAUUGGGGACAGAUGUGUCCUUGACCUAUUCUCAAACUUUAAAUGGGUAAUAUGUAGUGGUUGCUUGAUGGAACUUCUAAAAUGAAUGGCAAUAUUAGGUGGGCCAUUUUUGGUAAGCAGAACUGGCGAUGAGGGAUGAACCUAAUGCUGGGUUAAGGGGCUUAAUU
RNAcentral lists this ribosomal RNA (1037 nucleotides) under Alexandrium pacificum. RNAcentral describes it as "partial large subunit ribosomal RNA". It matches the Rfam family "Eukaryotic large subunit ribosomal RNA", at positions 202 to 1194 of the family's 3401-position model. Lineage: Eukaryota; Dinophyceae; Gonyaulacales; Pyrocystaceae. The record is from RNAcentral.